CAGCAGCCGCGGGAAUACGAAGGGGGCUAGCGUUGCUCGGAAUGACUGGGCGUAAAGGGCGCGUAGGCGGCGAUCAAAGUCAGGCGUGAAAUUCCUGGGCUCAACCUGGGGGCUGCGCUUGAUACUUGGUUGCUUGAGUGGGGAAGAGGGUCGUGGAAUUCCCAGUGUAGAGGUGAAAUUCGUAGAUAUUGGGAAGAACACCGGUGGCGAAGGCGGCGACCUGGUCCUUGACUGACGCUGAGGCGCGAAAGCGUGGGGAGCAAACAGGAUUAGAUACCCCCGUAGUCCCUGUCUCUUAUAC
RNAcentral lists this ribosomal RNA (301 nucleotides) under uncultured bacterium. Its description in RNAcentral is "partial 16S ribosomal RNA". It matches the Rfam family "Bacterial small subunit ribosomal RNA", at positions 509 to 807 of the family's 1533-position model. The record is from RNAcentral.